RNAcentral lists this long non-coding RNA (702 nucleotides) under Ailuropoda melanoleuca (giant panda). Its description in RNAcentral is "lncRNA (ENSAMEG00000023888.1)". The record is from RNAcentral. Lineage: Eukaryota; Metazoa; Chordata; Mammalia; Carnivora; Ursidae.
CGAUGUGAACCAACCAGGACUCGCGAUUCCCUUGCCACCUAGGGCGGGCGGUAUGGAGACAGAGCCAGUGGUGGGGUCCGGGAGGGGUCGGAGAGUGAGGGGCCGGUCGCUGUGCCCUAAGCUGGCAAGGAGCAAGGUGUUUUGCAGGCGAGAGGGAUGAAUUCUGCGUUUAACGUCGUCUCCUUGGCAUGCUGCCUAAAUGAUGGGCAUGGAAAUAGUGCUGAGGGAUGUGGGCUGAAUCGUGGGAUGAAUCGAGAAAACAGGGACUUUUGUCCUUAGGGUCCCCAGAAGUUGAGAAGCUCUGGACUACAGUGCAUCUGAUAGAAGUUGUCACAAAAAAAAAAAAAAAAUAGUGAGUGGGCUCCCUAGUCACUCCACUUAACACAAUAAAGAGUAGGAGAGCUUUUUGAAAUUUUUCAGGCUGUUUUCUCUGACCUUUCAUUACUGCUGACUUUUCCUGAUAAGGAGAAGUAUACAGACUGCAGCCCUUAGGGUAGUUGCACCUCAUUUAUAUUUCUCAUCUUGAUAUUUGAUAUGCAUUCUCGAUGAAUUCAUAUUCAUUUGAUAUUCAUUCUCAAUGUUACCAUAAGGGUAGAAUUUUAACCACUAAUAAGCAAAAGAAACAUGAUAAGCAGGGCAUAUUUUCUUUCCUAUUCUGUCUUAUAUGAUGGUACUUACCUAAUUUGAGGCUGUAUGUGAAAU